This 204-nucleotide ribosomal RNA is filed under the name Plectropsyche hoogstraali. Its description in RNAcentral is "partial 28S ribosomal RNA". It matches the Rfam family "Eukaryotic large subunit ribosomal RNA", at positions 667 to 840 of the family's 3401-position model. Lineage: Eukaryota; Metazoa; Arthropoda; Insecta; Trichoptera; Hydropsychidae. The record is from RNAcentral.
CAAGGAGUCUAGCAUGCGCGCGAGUCAUUGGGAUAAACCCAAAGGCGCAAUGAAAGUGAACAGCGUCGACGUCGGCCGCAGGGAAGAUGUCGGUCGGCCGUCCGUUCGCAUUCCCGAGGCGUUUCGAGAAAUGCCCCCGUGCGAUUAUCGAAACGCACUGAGAGCGCGCACGCUGGGACCCGAAAGAUGGUGAACUAUGCCUGG